Molecule: ribosomal RNA, 463 nt
Filed under: uncultured bacterium
Lineage: Bacteria
Description: partial 16S ribosomal RNA
Rfam family: Bacterial small subunit ribosomal RNA
Source: RNAcentral
GACGAACGCUGGCGGCGUGCUUAACACAUGCAAGUCGAGCGGAAAGGCCACUUCGGUGGUCCUCGAGCGGCGUACGGGUGAGUAACACGCGAGUAAUCUGCCCCUCACUUUGGGAUAGCCACCGGAAACGGUGAUUAAUUCCGGAUAUGACAAAUUGUUGCAUGGCGGGUGGUGGAAAGUUUUUUGGGGUGGGUGGUGCUCGCGGCCUAUCGGCUUGAGGGGGAGGUAAGGUCUCACCAUGGGUUCGACGGGUAGCCGGCCUGAGAGGGUGACCGGGCACACUGGGCCUGGGCCACGGCCCAGACUCCUACGGGAGGCAGCGGUGGGGAAUAUUGGACAGUGGGCGGAAGCCUGAUCCAGCAACGCCGCGUGAGGGAUGACGGCCUUCGGGUUGUAAACCUCUUUCCGUACAGACGAAGCGCAAGUGACGGUAGGUACAGAAGAAGCACCGGCCAACUACGUG